This 443-nucleotide ribosomal RNA is filed under the name uncultured bacterium. Its description in RNAcentral is "partial 16S ribosomal RNA". It matches the Rfam family "Bacterial small subunit ribosomal RNA", at positions 338 to 795 of the family's 1533-position model. The record is from RNAcentral.
CCUACGGGGGGCAGCAGUGGGGAAUAUUGGACAAUGGGGGGAACCCUGAUCCAGCGACGCCGCGUGAGUGAAGAAGUAUUUCGGUAUGUAAAGCUCUAUCAGCAGGGAAGAAAGAAAUGACGGUACCUGACUAAGAAGCCGCGGCUAACUACGUGCCAGCAGCCGCGGUAAUACGUAGGGGGCAAGCGUUAUCCGGAUUUACUGGGUGUAAAGGGAGCGUAGACGGCGAUGCAAGUCUGAAGUGAAAGGCGGGGGACCAACCCCUGGACUGGUUGUGAAACUGUAUGGCUGGAGUGCAGGAGAGGUAAGUGGAAUUCCUAGUGUAGCGGUGAAAUGCGUAGAUAUUAGGAGGAACACCAGUGGCGAAGGCGGCUUACUGGACUGUAACUGACGUUGAGGCUCGAAAGCGUGGGGAGCAAACAGGAGUAGAUACCCCAGUAGUC